AAAAAUGAAGCAAAAUUGCGGUUAGUUUCGACCUAACAGACUGGGACACCCAUUUUUA
RNAcentral lists this transfer RNA (58 nucleotides) under Alectorobius fonsecai. RNAcentral's name for it is "tRNA-Arg". The record is from RNAcentral. Lineage: Eukaryota; Metazoa; Arthropoda; Arachnida; Ixodida; Argasidae.